AUUGAACGCUGGCGGCGUGCUUAACACAUGCAAGUCGUGCGGUAACAGGCGUAGCAAUACGUGCUGACGAGCGGCGAACGGGUGCGUAAUACAUGGGAAUCUGCCCUUUAGUGGGGAAUAACCCGGCGAAAGCCGGGCUAAUGCCGCAUAAGAUCUUCGGAUGAAAGCGGGGGAUCGUAAGACCUCGCGCUGUUGGAUGAGCCUAUGUCGGAUUAGCUAGUGGUGAGGUAACGGCUCACCAAGGCGACGAUCCGUAGCUGGUCUGAGAGGACGGCCAGCCACACUGGGACUGAGACACGGCCCAGACUCCUACGGGAGGCAGCAGUGGGGAAUAUUGGACAAUGGGGAAACCCUGAUCCAGCGACGCCGCGUGUGUGAAGAAGGCCUGGCGGGUUUGU
This 398-nucleotide ribosomal RNA is filed under the name uncultured bacterium. RNAcentral's name for it is "bacterial SSU rRNA". It matches the Rfam family "Bacterial small subunit ribosomal RNA", at positions 30 to 426 of the family's 1533-position model. The record is from RNAcentral.